AUCAAACUGACGAGUCCAAAAUAGGACAAAAUGCUCAUCUUGGAU
Molecule: non-coding RNA, 45 nt
Filed under: Schistosoma margrebowiei
Lineage: Eukaryota; Metazoa; Platyhelminthes; Trematoda; Strigeidida; Schistosomatidae
Source: RNAcentral